Molecule: non-coding RNA, 129 nt
Organism: Callorhinus ursinus (northern fur seal)
Lineage: Eukaryota; Metazoa; Chordata; Mammalia; Carnivora; Otariidae
Source: RefSeq, a predicted model, not a curated record
CAGCUGCCCACGUACCACUCUUUCAAAGCAAAAUCCUGCUUACCAGCCAUCAACACCAGCUUUCUGCAGUUCGGAAAUCCCAAACGACAAAGAUCCCAUGAAGUCAUUCCUGCUGGUCAGAUCCCAAUC